GACGAACGCUGGCGGCGUGCUUAACACAUGCAAGUCGAGCGGUAAGGCCCUUCGGGGUACACGAGCGGCGAACGGGCGAGUAACACGUGGGUGACCUGCCUCUAGCUCUGGGAUAAGCCCGGGAAACUGGGUCUAAUACCGGAUAUGACUCCACGGCGCAUGUUGUGGGGUGGAAAGCCUUGUGUGGCUAGAGAUGGGCCCGCGGCCUAUCAGCUUGUUGGUGGGGUGANGGGCCUACCAAGGCGACGACGGGUAGCCGGCCUGAGAGGGCGACCGGCCACACUGGGACUGAGGACACGGGCCCAGACUCCUACGGGAGGCAGCGAGUGGGGAAUCUUGCGCAAUGGGCGAAAGCCUGACGCAGCGACGCCGCGUGAGGGAUGACGGCCUC
RNAcentral lists this ribosomal RNA (391 nucleotides) under uncultured bacterium. Its description in RNAcentral is "bacterial SSU rRNA". It matches the Rfam family "Bacterial small subunit ribosomal RNA", at positions 28 to 418 of the family's 1533-position model. The record is from RNAcentral.